CUACCAUGCAGUCGAGGGGUAGGGUUACUUCGGUAAUCUGAGACCCCNCGCACGGGUGCGUAACGCGUAUGCAAUCUACCUUUUACUAUGGNAUAGCCCAGAGAAAUUUGGAUUAAUACCAUAUAGUAUAUUUGAAUGGCAUCGUUUGAAUAUUAAAGAUUUAUCGGUAAAAGAUGAGCAUGCGUCCCAUUAGUUAGUUGGUGUGGCAACGGCAUACCAAGACGAUGAUGGGUAGGGGUCCUGAGAGGGAGAUCCCCCACACUGGUACUGAGACACGGACCAGACUCCUACGGGAGGCAGCAGUGAGGAAUAUUGGUCAAUGGAGGCAACUCUGAACCAGCCAUGCCGCGUGCAGGAUGACGGUCCUAUGGAUUGUAAACUGCUUUUGUACGGGAAGAAAACAAACUACGAGUAGUUAAUUGACGGUACCGUAAGAAUAAGGAUCGGCUAACUCCGUGCCAGCAGCCGCGGUAAUACGGAGGAUCCAAGCGUUAUCCGGAAUCAUUGGGUUUAAAGGGUCCGUANGCGGCCUUAUAAGUCAGUGGUGAAAGUUUUUGGCUUAACCAAAAAAUUGCCAUUGAUACUGUAGGGCUUGAAUAUCUGUGAAGUANCUAGAAUAUGUAGUGUAGCGGUGAAAUGCUAGAUUUUACAUGGAAUACCGAUUGCGAAGCAGNUACUAACAGAUGAUUGACGCUGAUGGACNAAGCG
This 708-nucleotide ribosomal RNA is filed under the name uncultured Flavobacterium sp. RNAcentral's name for it is "bacterial SSU rRNA". It matches the Rfam family "Bacterial small subunit ribosomal RNA", at positions 49 to 761 of the family's 1533-position model. The record is from RNAcentral. Lineage: Bacteria; Pseudomonadati; Bacteroidota; Flavobacteriia; Flavobacteriales; Flavobacteriaceae.